UACGGGGGGGGCAAGCGUUGUUCGGAAUUACUGGGCGUAAAGGGCUCGUAGGUGGCCAACUAAGUCAGACGUGAAAUCCCUCGGCUUAACCGGGGAACUGCGUCCGAUACUGGCAGGCUUGAAUCCGGGAGAGGGAUGCGGAAUUCCAGGUGUAGCGGUGAAAUGCGUAGAUAUCUGGAGGAACACCGGUGGCGAAGGCGGCAUCCUGGACCGGUAUUGACGCUGAGGCGCGAAAGCCAGGGGAGCAAACGGG
This 253-nucleotide ribosomal RNA is filed under the name uncultured bacterium. Its description in RNAcentral is "partial 16S ribosomal RNA". It matches the Rfam family "Bacterial small subunit ribosomal RNA", at positions 524 to 776 of the family's 1533-position model. The record is from RNAcentral.